CCCUUAGAGUUUGAUCCUGGCUCAGGAUGAACGCUAGCUACAGGCUUAACACAUGCAAGUCGAGGGGCAGCAUGGUCUUAGCUUGCUAAGGCCGAUGGCGACCGGCGCACGGGUGAGUAACACGUAUCCAACCUGCCGUCUACUCUUGGACAGCCUUCUGAAAGGAAGAUUAAUACAAGAUGGCAUCAUGAGUCCGCAUGUUCACAUGAUUAAAGGUAUUCCGGUAGACGAUGGGGAUGCGUUCCAUUAGAUAGUAGGCGGGGUAACGGCCCACCUAGUCUUCGAUGGAUAGGGGUUCUGAGAGGAAGGUCCCCCACAUUGGAACUGAGACACGGUCCAAACUCCUACGGGAGGCAGCAGUGAGGAAUAUUGGUCAAUGGGCGAGAGCCUGAACCAGCCAAGUAGCGUGAAGGAUGACUGCCCUAUGGGUUGUAAACUUCUUUUAUAAAGGAAUAAAGUCGGGUAUGGAUACCNCGUAUGCAUGUACUUUAGAAUAGGA
RNAcentral lists this ribosomal RNA (499 nucleotides) under uncultured bacterium. RNAcentral's name for it is "bacterial SSU rRNA". It matches the Rfam family "Bacterial small subunit ribosomal RNA", at positions 1 to 490 of the family's 1533-position model. The record is from RNAcentral.